Molecule: ribosomal RNA, 766 nt
Filed under: uncultured bacterium
Lineage: Bacteria
Description: bacterial SSU rRNA
Rfam family: Bacterial small subunit ribosomal RNA
Source: RNAcentral
GCAGUCGAGGGGCAGCGGAAGAUUACUUCGGUAGUUCUGCCGGCGACCGUCGCACGGGUGCGUAACGCGUAUGCAACCUACCUUCAACAGGGGGAUAAUCCGAAGAAAUUUGGUCUAAUACCCCAUAAUAUUCAGAGAGGCAUCUUUUUGAGUUGAAAACUCCGGUGGUUGAAGAUGGGCAUGCGUUGUAUUAGCUGGAUGGUGAGGUAACGGCUCACCAUGGCGAUGAUACAUAGGGGGACUGAGAGGUUUUCCCCCCACACUGGUACUGAGACACGGACCAGACUCCUACGGGAGGCAGCAGUGAGGAAUAUUGGUCAAUGGACGCAAGUCUGAACCAGCCAUGCCGCGUGCAGGAAGAAGGUGCUAUGCAUUGUAAACUGCUUUUAUACGGGGGUAAUUACAGAUACGUGUAUCUGGAUGAAAGUACCGUAUGAAUAAGGAUCGGCUAACUCCGUGCCAGCAGCCGCGGUAAUACGGAGGAUCCGAGCGUUAUCCGGAUUUAUUGGGUUUAAAGGGUGCGUAGGCGGUCAGGUAAGUUAGAGGUGAAAGCUCGAUGCUCAACAUCGAAACUGCCUCUGAUACUGUCUGACUAGAGUGUAGUUGCGGAAGGCGGAAUGUGUGGUGUAGCGGUGAAAUGCUUAGAUAUCACACAGAACACCGAUUGCGAAGGCAGCUUUCCAAGCUAUUACUGACGCUGAGGCACGAAAGCGUGGGGAGCGAACAGGAUUAGAUACCCUGGUAGUCCACGCAGUAAACGAUGAUA